This 356-nucleotide ribosomal RNA is filed under the name uncultured bacterium. Its description in RNAcentral is "bacterial SSU rRNA". It matches the Rfam family "Bacterial small subunit ribosomal RNA", at positions 527 to 881 of the family's 1533-position model. The record is from RNAcentral.
UAAGNAUGCANNCGUUGUCCGGAAUUACUGNNCNUAAAGAGUUCGUAGGCGGUUUGUCGCGUCGUUUGUGAAAACCACCNGCUCAACUGCUGGCUUGCAGGCGAUACGGGCAGACUUGAGUACUGCAGGGGAGACUGGAAUUCCUGGUGUAGCGGUGAAAUGCGCAGAUAUCAGGAGGAACACCGGUGGCGAAGGCGGGUCUCUGGGCAGUAACUGACGCUGAGGAACGAAAGCGUGGGUAGCGAACAGGAUUAGAUACCCUGGUAGUCCACGCCGUAAACGGUGGGCGCUAGGUGGGGGUUCCUUCCACGGAAUCCGUGCCGUAGCUAACGCAUUAAGCGCCCCGCCUGGGGAGU